Molecule: ribosomal RNA, 553 nt
Filed under: uncultured archaeon
Lineage: Archaea
Description: bacterial SSU rRNA
Rfam family: Archaeal small subunit ribosomal RNA
Source: RNAcentral
UCAGUAACACGUAGCUAACCUACCCUUAGGACGUUUAUACCCCCGAGAAAUUGGGGCUAAUGAACGAUAGAUGUGAUGUCCUGGAAUGGUAUUACGUCUAAAAGUAUAUCAUACAUGUUUGAUAUACGCCUAAGGACGGGGCUGCGGCUGAUCAGGCUGUUGGUGAGGUAAUGGCUCACCAAACCAUUGACCAGUACGGGCCAUGAGAGUGGUAGCCCGGAGAUGGACACUGAGACAAGGGUCCAGGCCCUACGGGGCGCAGCAGGCGCGAAACCUCCUCAAUGCACUAAAGUGCGAAGGGGUUACCUCGAGUGCCAUCUGAUGAAGGUGGCUUUUCCUUGGUCUAAAAAGCCUAGGGAAUAAGAGGGGGGCAAGACUGGUGUCAGCCGCCGCGGUAACACCAGCCCCUCGAGUGGUGGGGAUGAUUAUUUGGCCUAAAGCGUCCGUAGCCGGCCGGGUAAGUUUCCCGUUAAAUCCGACGUCUCAAGCGUUGGACUGCGGGAAAUACUGCCUGGCUAGAGAGUGGGAGAGGUCAGCGGUAUUCUGGGGGUAG